Molecule: long non-coding RNA, 810 nt
Organism: Acanthochromis polyacanthus (spiny chromis)
Lineage: Eukaryota; Metazoa; Chordata; Actinopteri; Pomacentridae
Exons: 2
Source: RefSeq, a predicted model, not a curated record
CAGUGCAUCUGUAGGAACUGAUGCUGCAGCUUGUUGUUGCUGUCAGGUCAGUAUUUAAGGUGCACGCGCAGCUUUAGCUUCAUACUAACAACUCUGCUGCAGUGAGAUAAGUGUGAUAAAUGUCCAACAAACUGCCCAAAAAACAUCAGAACAACCCUCAAAUGUUCACUGACAGCCACACAUCAGAUCAGAAACAGACCCGACAAAGUGCUGCUGGUGACAGUGUUAUUGGACUGCGUUGCCAUGGAAACAGCUUGGGUCCAAGUUCACUCGCUGCUGACAGCAAACAUCCAUAAACAACGUUUAGAGCGUUCAUGAGACCAGCGUUUCCGUUGGAGACGGACCAGAGAGGACGACGAGAAGAACUCUGCAACAAACACCGAAUCAGAUGAGAAAGUUAAUAUCAAAGCUGGUGUUUGUUUCUGAUCCUCUUUGUGAUGUUCAGUGCAGCUACAGCCAGCUGAGGAGGACGUCCGACUUUUGCAGAUGAUGUUGUUCUGUUAGCUUCAGAUCUUUGUUGGAGUAGAUUCUUCUCCUGAAUGUUCUGGUUCUGGUUCUGUCUCCAACCCGUCAACCUCGUUUCUAACAACAUAACGAUGCUGACAUUUAAACGUCUUAAGCAUUUAUCCUGUGAUCAAUUCAGACGACGAGACUCAACAUGAAGCUCGGACCCCCAGAGGAAGAAACCCUGCAGAAGAUUAUUCACUUUUCCACUACAAACUGAGAGAUUCCAAAGGUUUCCAGGAGAAUAAUUUGCACAUUUCGGUACAAUUUGUGCAGCUGUCAUGAUAAUAAAUGUUGUUAAGUUCA